GAGUCUGGUAAUUGGAAUGAGUACAAUCUAAAUCCCUUAACGAGGANCCAUUGGAGGGCAAGUCUGGUGCCAGCAGCCGCGGUAAUUCCAGCUCCAAUAANGUAUAUUUAAGUUGUUGCAGAUAAAAAGCUCGUAGUUNNNUCUUGGGUCGUCACGGUUGGUCUGCCUACUCGGUGUGCACUGGCCCUCACGUCCCUUCUCCGGCGGCGUGCUCCUGGCCUUAAUUGUCUGGGUCGCGGUUCCGGNGCCGUUACUUU
RNAcentral lists this ribosomal RNA (257 nucleotides) under Taxus baccata (English yew). Its description in RNAcentral is "partial 18S ribosomal RNA". It matches the Rfam family "Eukaryotic small subunit ribosomal RNA", at positions 498 to 758 of the family's 1831-position model. The record is from RNAcentral. Lineage: Eukaryota; Viridiplantae; Streptophyta; Pinopsida; Cupressales; Taxaceae.